CUUUUGAUAAUAAUAUAAGGUUUAACCUGCCCAAUGAGGUUUUAAAUGGCCGCAGUAUUUUGACUGUGCAAAGGUAGCAUAAUCAUUUGUUUUUUAAUUGAAAGCUGGAAUGAAAGGUUGAAUGAGAAAAUNACUGUCUCUAUUUAAUUUUAUUAUAAUUUUAUUUUUAAGUUAAAAAGCUUAAAUGUUUUUUGAAGACGAGAAGACCCUAUAGAGUUUUUAUAAUUAAUAAAUUUAAAAAAAUUUAGAAUUAAUUUUUUUUAAAUACAAAAAUUAUUUAGUUGGGGUNAUUAAAAAAUUUAAUAAACUUUUUUUUUAUUAUUACAUUAANUUAUGAAUAUUUGAUCCUUUUUWAAGAUUAUAAGAGUUAAUUACCYYAGGGAUAACAGCGUAAUUUUUUUUUAGAGUBCAAAUUAAAAGAAAAGAUUNNNNCCNCGAUGUUGGAUUAAAAUUAUAU
Molecule: ribosomal RNA, 457 nt
Filed under: Rhopalapion longirostre
Lineage: Eukaryota; Metazoa; Arthropoda; Insecta; Coleoptera; Brentidae
Description: partial 16S ribosomal RNA
Source: RNAcentral